UGGGGAAUAUUGCACAAUGGGGGAAACCCUGAUGCAGCGACGCCGCGUGAGCGAAGAAGUAUUUCGGUAUGUAAAGCUCUAUCAGCAGGGAAGAUGAUGACGGUACCUGACUAAGAAGCCCCGGCUAACUACGUGCCAGCAGCCGCGGUAAUACGUAGGGGGCAAGCGUUAUCCGGAUUUACUGGGUGUAAAGGGAGCGUAGACGGCGAAGCAAGUUUGGUGUGAAAACCCGGGGCUCAACCCCGGGCCUGCAUUGGAAACUGUUUUGCUUGAGUGCCGGAGAGGUAAGCGGAAUUCCUAGUGUAGCGGUGAAAUGCGUAGAUAUUAGGAGGAACACCAGUGGCGAAGGCGGCUUACUGGACGGUAACUGACGUUGAGGCUCGAAAGCGUGGGGAGCAAACA
RNAcentral lists this ribosomal RNA (402 nucleotides) under uncultured prokaryote. RNAcentral describes it as "bacterial SSU rRNA". It matches the Rfam family "Bacterial small subunit ribosomal RNA", at positions 355 to 774 of the family's 1533-position model. The record is from RNAcentral.